UGGUGUGAGGGUGAUCUGGCUGCGACAUCUGUCACCCCACCAAUUGUCAGGGUUGAUCCAGCCGACCUGGCUGGCGAGGCGGGUUUCCCCCUCCUCCGUCGCCGCCCCACGUGUGUCCCUCCCGGAGCCGCACACUGCGCCCAGGAGGAUGACCGUUCCCGGAAGAGGAGGAUAGUGUUCGGUCAGGAGCACAUCAGUACCUAUGCUUUCCUGCUAGAAACCCCUGCACUGACCCUCAAGGGCCAUUUGCGGGAAGGAGGGUAGUCAAACUUCGAGACUUCCAGCACAUCCAAACGAGGUGGUGUGUGUGGCAGUCUGCCUUUCUAA
This is an unclassified non-coding RNA of Ursus americanus (American black bear), 327 nucleotides long. Its record names the gene 7SK. It matches the Rfam family "7SK RNA". Rfam says of the family: 7SK was discovered as an abundant small nuclear RNA in the mid-70s but a possible function has only recently been suggested. Two independent studies have found that 7SK RNA binds the CDK9/cyclin T complex (known as elongation factor P-TEFb). NCBI's taxonomy places the organism in Eukaryota, Metazoa, Chordata, Mammalia, Carnivora, Ursidae. The record is from Ensembl.